AGCCGAGCGGUAAAGAUUCUUCGGAAUCUUGAGAGCGGCGCACGGGUGCGGAACACGUGUGCAACCUACCUUUAUCAGGGGGAUAGCCUUUCGAAAGGAAGAUUAAUACCCCAUAAUAUAUUGAAUGGCAUCAUUCGAUAUUGAAAACUCCGGUGGAUAGAGAUGGGCACGCGCAAGAUUAGAUAGUUGGUGAGGUAACGGCUCACCAAGUCAAUGAUCUUUAGGGGGCCUGAGAGGGUGAUCCCCCACACUGGUACUGAGACACGGACCAGACUCCUACGGGAGGCAGCAGUGAGGAAUAUUGGACAAUGGGUGAGAGCCUGAUCCAGCCAUCCCGCGUGAAGGACGACGGCCCUAUGGGUUGUAAACUUCUUUUGUAUAGGGAUAAACCUUUCCACGUGUGGAAAGCUGAAGGUACUAUACGAAUAAGCACCGGCUAACUCCGUGCCAGCAGCCGCGGUAAUACGGAGGGUGCAAGCGUUAUCCGGAUUUAUUGGGUUUAAAGGGUCCGUAGGCGGACUCGUAAGUCAGUGGUGAAAUCUCAUAGCUUAACUAUGAAACUGCCAUUGAUACUGCGGGUCUUGNAGUAAGGUAGAGGUAGCUGGAAUAAGUAGUGUAGCGGUGAAAUGCAUAGAUAUUACUUAGAACACCAAUUGCGAAGGCAGGUUACCAUGUCUUAACUGACGCUGAUGGACGAAAGCGUGGGGAGCGAACAGGAUUAGAUACCCUGGUAGUCCACGCCGUAAACGAUGCUAACUCGUUUUUGGGGCUUUAAGCUUCAGAGACUAAGCGAAAGUGAUAAGUUAGCCACCUGGGGAGUACGAACGCAAGUUUGAAACUCAAAGGAAUUGACGGGGGCCCGCACAAGCGGUGGAUUAUGUGGUUUAAUUCGAUGAUACGCGAGGAACCUUACCAAGGCUUAAAUGGGAAUUGAUCGGUUUAGAAAUAGACCUUCCUUCGGGCAAUUUUCAAGGUGCUGCAUGGUUGUCGUCAGCUCGUGCCGUGAGGUGUUAGGUUAAGUCCUGCAACGAGCGCAACCCCUGUCACUAGUUGCUAACAUUCAGUUGAGGACUCUAGUGAGACUGCCUACGCAAGUAGAGAGGAAGGUGGGGAUGACGUCAAAUCAUCACGGCCCUUACGCCUUGGGCCACACACGUAAUACAAUGGCCGGUACAGAGGGCAGCUACACAGCGAUGUGAUGCAAAUCUCGAAAGCCGGUCUCAGUUCGGAUUGGAGUCUGCAACUCGACUCUAUGAAG
This 1258-nucleotide ribosomal RNA is filed under the name Chryseobacterium sp. RNAcentral's name for it is "bacterial SSU rRNA". It matches the Rfam family "Bacterial small subunit ribosomal RNA", at positions 60 to 1325 of the family's 1533-position model. The record is from RNAcentral. Lineage: Bacteria; Pseudomonadati; Bacteroidota; Flavobacteriia; Flavobacteriales; Weeksellaceae.